GACGAACGCUGGCGGCGUGCUUAACACAUGCAAGUCGAACGGAAAGGACCUGCUUUUGUGGGGUUCUCGAGUGGCGAACGGGUGAGUAACACGUGAGUAACCUGCCCUUGACUUUGGGAUAACUUCAGGAAACUGGGGCUAAUACCAGAUAGGAGCUCCUGCUGCAUGGUGGGGGUUGGAAAGUUUCGGCGGUUGGGGAUGGACUCGCGGCUUAUCAGCUUGUUGGUUGGGUAGUGGCUUACCAAGGCUUUGACGGGUAGCCGGCCUGAGAGGGUGAACGGCCACAUUGGGACUGCGAUAGGGCCCAGACUCCUACGGGAGGCAGAAGUGGGGAGUAUUGCACAAUGGGCGGAAGCCUGAUGCAGCAACGCCGCGUGCGGGAUGACGGCCUUCGGGUUGUAAACCGCUUUCGCCUGUGACGAAGCGUGAGUGACGGUAAUGGGUAAAGAAGCACCGGCUAACUACGUG
This 468-nucleotide ribosomal RNA is filed under the name uncultured bacterium. Its description in RNAcentral is "partial 16S ribosomal RNA". It matches the Rfam family "Bacterial small subunit ribosomal RNA", at positions 28 to 507 of the family's 1533-position model. The record is from RNAcentral.